RNAcentral lists this ribosomal RNA (520 nucleotides) under uncultured Glomus. RNAcentral describes it as "SSU rRNA". It matches the Rfam family "Eukaryotic small subunit ribosomal RNA", at positions 569 to 1093 of the family's 1831-position model. Lineage: Eukaryota; Fungi; Glomeromycota; Glomeromycetes; Glomerales; Glomeraceae. The record is from RNAcentral.
AGCAGCCGCGGUAAUUCCAGCUCCAAUAGCGUAUAUUAAAGUUGUUGCAGUUAAAAAGCUCGUAGUUGAAUUUCGGGGUUAGUAGGUCGGUCAUGCCACUGGUAUGUACUGGUCUCACUGAUUCCUCCUUCCUGAUGAACCGUAAUGCCAUUAAUUUGGUGUUGCGGGGAGACUGACUGUUACUUUGAAAAAAUUGAGUGUUUAAAGCAGGCUAACGCUUGAAUACAUUAGCAUGGAAUAAUGAAAUAGGACGUUCGAUCCUAUUUUGUUGGUUUCUAGGAUUGACGUAAUGAUUAAUAGGGAUAGUUGGGGGCAUUAGUAUUCAAUUGUCAGAGGUGAAAUUCUUGGAUUUAUUGAAGACUAACUACUGCGAAAGCAUUUGCCAAGGAUGUUUUCAUUAAUCAAGAACGAAAGUUAGGGAUCGAAGACGAUCAGAUACCGUCGUAGUCUUAACCAUAAACUAUGCCGACUAGGGAUCGGAUGAUGUUAAUUUUUAUGUACUUCAUUCGGCGCCUUACGG